This 464-nucleotide ribosomal RNA is filed under the name uncultured bacterium. RNAcentral's name for it is "partial 16S ribosomal RNA". It matches the Rfam family "Bacterial small subunit ribosomal RNA", at positions 339 to 795 of the family's 1533-position model. The record is from RNAcentral.
CUACGGGUGGCUCCAGUGGGGAAUAUUGCACAAUGGGCGCAAGCCUGAUGCAGCCAUGCCGCGUGUAUGAAGAAGGCCUUCGGGUUGUAAAGUACUUUCAGCGGGGAGGAAGGGAGUAAAGUUAAUACCUUUGCUCAUUGACGUUACCCGCAGAAGAAGCACCGGCUAACUCCGUGCCAGCAGCCGCGGUAAUACGGAGGGUGCAAGCGUUAAUCGGAAUUACUGGGCGUAAAGCGCACGCAGGCGGUUUGUUAAGUCAGAUGUGAAAUCCCCGGGCUCAACCUGGGAACUGCAUCUGAGACUGUCAAGCUUGAGUCUCGUAGAGGGGGGUAGAAUUCCAGGUGUAGCGGUGAAAUGCGUAGAGAUCUGGAGGAAUACCGGUGGCGAAGGCGGCCCCCUGGACGAAGACUGACGCUCAGGUGCGAAAGCGUGGGGAGCAAACAGGAUUAGAUACCCUCGUAGUC